This is a long non-coding RNA of Homo sapiens (human), 306 nucleotides long. Ensembl annotates it as long intergenic non-protein coding RNA 1989. NCBI's taxonomy places the organism in Eukaryota, Metazoa, Chordata, Mammalia, Primates, Hominidae. The record is from Ensembl.
UAGUCUUCCCAACAAUCCUGCAAGAUAUAGAACCUUGACAUGUUUCUCAGGCUGGUCUGAAACUCCUGGGGCUCAAGCGAUCCACCUGCCUCCACCUCUCAAAGUGCUGAGAUUACAGGGCCUAUGGUUCAUCCUGCAAUAUCAGAGAAUACACAACUGUUGGAAGCUCAUUUGUGCAGAAGCACUAGUUAGACCAAGUCCCAGGAUGGUGGGGACUUGAACUGCCUCAUGCACAUUGUACCCAAGAGCCUGGCCCAUGAAGGUGAAUCAGUGGAUACUUGAAUAAAAAGAAGAAUAUGCGCUGAA